GCGCCCAGAGGCAGACAUUUCCAGCCCUCUGGGGAACAAGUCACUCCAUACUCUUGGCUCCUGAAAAGCUGGUUUAUUUUCUUCAUGGGAGGGGCUGGCUGGACUCCUCUUGAAUCUUCCAGGGCUGGGGUGCCCUGCCCACGUGGAAACGCCUCUCUGUAUCACUCUAUAAAUGUCUGCAGAGACCAAAGGGAGACCUGUGCACGGCCUUCUUCCCAGUCGUGAGACUCCAGCAGCUUCACCAUGAGGCUUCUAGUCCUUUCCAGCCUCCUCUGCAUUCUGCUCCUCUGUUGCUCCAUCUUCUCCUUGGAAGGGAGAAGACACCCUACCAAGCCCUGCAGACUCAGGUCUGGCUGCCACCGAGUUACUAGACACAGAGUGAUAAUCCAGAAAAGAAACCGCACAAGGAUGACAAAGCCGGCUCCGAAGCUUUGGGUGGUUCCGGGGGCUCUCCCACAGGUGUAGCGCUCUCAAAGCCUGGCUCCACCCAGCCGAGACCCUCAUGCCCAGCUCCGUGGACACUGGAAGCCUCAGUUGUUACCCCUCCCCCGCCCCCCGUCAACGUUCACAAUGGCAGUGUGCUGUGAUGGGGGAAAGGUUUCACCUUGGAUAAUAGGGACCUGGGGACAUUCUGGAACUCCCAAGUGCUGGUUCCAGUUGUGCCCCCAAGCUCCAGAAUUACUGCCACCGAGGCUCAGCCUCCUGUCUUCAGUCUCCGCGUGGUCCGUCCACAGUAACAGCGGAGGAUUCCAUCCUAACCUGCGGCAGCUACAAAUCCAGUGACUGCUGCACCUGCUGGCGUGCAGGACAGCAAGACCUCGGGGGGGGGGGGGGUGUCAUUCAGGCUUUCUCAGACACACCCACCAAGCUCUUGGCAUCUAACUGCCAGUCAGGGUGGUCCCCCCGAGGGAACCUCUCUUAACUUCCUAACAUGAGUUCUCUGGAAAGAACACCCAAACUGACAAUUAAUAAAUACA
Jaculus jaculus (lesser Egyptian jerboa) is the source of this 977-nucleotide long non-coding RNA. RefSeq lists it as uncharacterized. Lineage: Eukaryota; Metazoa; Chordata; Mammalia; Rodentia; Dipodidae. The record is from RefSeq and is a predicted model, not a curated record. The transcript is spliced from 3 exons.